This 491-nucleotide ribosomal RNA is filed under the name uncultured bacterium. Its description in RNAcentral is "partial 16S ribosomal RNA". It matches the Rfam family "Bacterial small subunit ribosomal RNA", at positions 29 to 507 of the family's 1533-position model. The record is from RNAcentral.
AGUGAACGCUGGCGGUAGGCCUAACACAUGCAAGUCGAACGGCAGCACAGUAAGAGCUUGCUCUUACGGGUGGCGAGUGGCGGACGGGUGAGGAAUACAUCGGAAUCUACUUUUUCGUGGGGGAUAACGUAGGGAAACUUACGCUAAUACCGCAUACGACCUACGGGUGAAAGCAGGGGAUCUUCGGACCUUGCGCGAUGAAUGAGCCGAUGUCGGAUUAGCUAGUUGGCGGGGUAAAGGCCCACCAAGGCGACGAUCCGUAGCUGGUCUGAGAGGAUGAUCAGCCACACUGGAACUGAGACACGGUCCAGACUCCUACGGGAGGCAGCAGUGGGGAAUAUUGGACAAUGGGCGCAAGCCUAAUCCAGCCAUACCGCGUGGGUGAAGAAGGCCUUCGGGUUGUAAAGCCCUUUUGUUGGGAAAGAAAAGCAGCAGGUUAAUACCCCGCUGUUCUGACGGUACCCAAAGAAUAAGCACCGGCUAACUUCGUG